GGUCACCAUCAGAUGAGGAUUAUUGGGGAUGUUUAUUAUUAACCCUUACUGACGCAGUAUACAUGUAUGUCCAGUGCCAGCUAAUGACGGUCAUCAACACGAAUCCAGUAGAUCCUGCGAUCAAAAUAAUCUCGGGGUCCCGAUCAGCUGACACAACCGCUAGAGAGGUUCCUAUAAGGUGUCAGGACGUGGCGGUCUAUUUCUCCAUGGAGGAGUGGGAGUAUGUAGAAGGACACAAGGAUCAGGUCAUGAUGGAGGAUCAGCAGCCCCUCACAUCACCAGAUCCAGUAAGAGAACAGC
Long non-coding RNA from Hyla sarda, 300 nucleotides. RefSeq lists it as uncharacterized. The transcript is spliced from 3 exons. The record is from RefSeq and is a predicted model, not a curated record. NCBI's taxonomy places the organism in Eukaryota, Metazoa, Chordata, Amphibia, Anura, Hylidae.